GACGAACGCUGGCGGCGUGCUUAACACAUGCAAGUCGAACGGAAAGGCCCUGCUUUUGUGGGGUGCUCGAGUGGCGAACGGGUGAGUAACACGUGAGUAACCUGCCCUUGACUUUGGGAUAACUUCAGGAAACUGGGGCUAAUACCGGAUAGGAGCUCCUGCUGCAUGGUGGGGGAUGGAAAGUUUCGGCGGUGGGGGAUGGACUCGCGGCUUAUCAGCUUGUUGGUGGGGUAGUGGCUUACCAAGGCUUUGACGGGUAGCCGGCCUGAGAGGGUGAACGGGCACAUGGGGCCUGAGAUACGGACCAGACUGCUACGGGAGGCAGCAGGCGGGAGUAUUGCACAAUGGGCGGAAGCCUGAUGCAGCAACGCCGCGUGCGGGAUGCCGGCCUUCGGGUUGUGAACCGCUGUCGCCUGUGACGAAGCGGGAGUGACGGUAAUGGGUAAAGAAGCACCGGCUAACUACGUG
This 468-nucleotide ribosomal RNA is filed under the name uncultured bacterium. RNAcentral describes it as "partial 16S ribosomal RNA". It matches the Rfam family "Bacterial small subunit ribosomal RNA", at positions 28 to 507 of the family's 1533-position model. The record is from RNAcentral.